CUGGCGGCGUGCCUAAUACAUGCAAGUCGAACGCUUCUUUUUCCACCGGAGCUUGCUCCACCGGAAAAAGAAGAGUGGCGAACGGGUGAGUAACACGUGGGUAACCUGCCCAUCAGAAGGGGAUAACACUUGGAAACAGGUGCUAAUACCGUAUAACAAUCAAAACCGCAUGGUUUUGAUUUGAAAGGCGCUUUCGGGUGUCGCUGAUGGAUGGACCCGCGGUGCAUUAGCUAGUUGGUGAGGUAACGGCUCACCAAGGCCACGAUGCAUAGCCGACCUGAGAGGGUGAUCGGCCACAUUGGGACUGAGACACGGCCCAAACUCCUACGGGAGGCAGCAGUAGGGAAUCUUCGGCAAUGGACGAAAGUCUGACCGAGCAACGCCGCGUGAGUGAAGAAGGUUUUCGGAUCGUAAAACUCUGUUGUUAGAGAAGAACAAGGAUGAGAGUAACUGUUCAUCCCUUGACGGUAUCUAACCAGAAAGCCACGGCUAACUACGUGCCAGCAGCCGCGGUAAUACGUAGGUGGCAAGCGUUGUCCGGAUUUAUUGGGCGUAAAGCGAGCGCAGGCGGUUUCUUAAGUCUGAUGUGAAAGCCCCCGGCUCAACCGGGGAGGGUCAUUGGAAACUGGGAGACUUGAGUGCAGAAGAGGAGAGUGGAAUUCCAUGUGUAGCGGUGAAAUGCGUAGAUAUAUGGAGGAACACCAGUGGCGAAGGCGGCUCUCUGGUCUGUAACUGACGCUGAGGCUCGAAAGCGUGGGGAGCAAACAGGAUUAGAUACCCUGGUAGUCCACGCCGUAAACGAUGAGUGCUAAGUGUUGGAGGGUUUCCGCCCUUCAGUGCUGCAGCUAACGCAUUAAGCACUCCGCCUGGGGGAGUACGACCGCAA
Molecule: ribosomal RNA, 886 nt
Filed under: uncultured organism
Description: SSU rRNA
Rfam family: Bacterial small subunit ribosomal RNA
Source: RNAcentral